GACGAACGCUGGCGGCGUGCUUAACACAUGCAAGUCGAACGAUGACAACCGAACUUUCUCGGUCUGACUAGCGGCGAACGGGUGGGUAACACGUGAGCAACCUGCCCUUCGCUCUGGGAUAACCUCUGGAAAUCGCGGCUAAUACCGGAUAUGAGCUCCUGUCGCCUGGCGGGUGUUGGAAAGUUUUUCGGUGAAGGAUGGUCUGGCGGCCUAUCAGUUUGUUGGUGGGGUAGUGGCUCACCACGGCGAUGACGGGUAGCCGGCCUGAGAGGGCGAACGGCCACACUGGGACUGAGAGACGGACCAGACUCGUACGGGAGGCAGCAGUGGGGAAUAUUGCACAGUGGGCGAAAGCCUGAUGCAGCGACGCCGCGUGAGGGAUGACGGCCUUCGGGUUGUAAACCUCUUUCAGCAGGGAAGAAGCGAAAGUGACGGUACCUGCAGAAGAAGCGCCGGCUAACUACGUG
This 467-nucleotide ribosomal RNA is filed under the name uncultured bacterium. RNAcentral describes it as "partial 16S ribosomal RNA". It matches the Rfam family "Bacterial small subunit ribosomal RNA", at positions 28 to 507 of the family's 1533-position model. The record is from RNAcentral.